GCGACCGUGGGUAGGGGUUCUACCUGUGUGAUGCUGAGAAGUAUCAUGAAGGAAAACAAAGCAGUGUAAGAAGAUAGAAACCGGGUCAGUAAAGGAGAAGGCUGGGCAGCGAAGAGAGAAAAGAGCCCUGUUUAUGAGAAAGCGCUUUGCCGGGGGAAAGGAGCGACAGGCAAAGGCCUUUCAAGAAGCUCAAAAUGACCGCUGUGUGGACCAGGUGUGCUAGGUGAAGUCUGAGAGGUAGCCAGAGACUAGGUCCUGUUGGAUUUUAUUCUAAGAAAAAUGGGAAGCAUCAGAGGGAUGAUGGGCUGUGUCUUAAGUUUUCGAAAGAUCCCUCUGGCUGCUCAGUGUGAAUAGACCAGAGGGGAGUCGUGAGGAUAGGGAGGUUGUAAGGGUGGAAGCAAAGAGAUUGUAGAGUAGAAGGUGAUUGCAGGUGAUGAAUUGGAUGCCAGUGUGGCUAAGGCGAAAUGAGCUAGGAGAAGAAUGAUGAGAAGUAGCCAUGGGCCAGACCAGAUAGGGCCUUGUACGUCAUGGAAUUCUUUCCCAGAGAGUUGGGAGGCCUGGGGAAGAGUAAGGUGGUCCCACUUAAGUUUUACAAGGAAUACUCAGGUUGCCGUGUGUGAAUAGACCGGAGAGGGGUGAGAACGGAGGCGGGCAGAGAGUGCAGUUAGGAAGCUGUAACGGGGAUGGAGGCAGACGAUGGGUUAGACUACAGUGGAGGUGGUAGAAGUAGGGUAGGAUUGGGGAUCUAAUUUGUAGAGCCAACGGUUAUCGACGAAAAUUCAAUUAACUAUCAAGUUAAGAAGAAAAAAAAGGGAUUUUAUUCGAGCCAAACUGAGGAUUAUCACCUGGGAAGCAGAUUCUCAGAAAGUUCUGAGAGCUCUUCCUCCCGUUAGAAGUCGAAGGUAUAGUCUGUACAUUUUUGAGACAACGGAUCGUACAUCAAAAUGACGUACUGAUGUUUCACUUAAAGUUCACCAAGGAUACAUAGACCAGGGUCUUGCUAAUGUGAUGUGGAGUAUGAGUGGAAGGAUGGUAGUGCUGUUACUGAGAUGGGGAACCCUGCGGGAGGAGCAAAUUUAGCAGAGGCGUAGUUUGGAGCAAGUUAAGUCUCAAUUGCCUGUGAACCCUCGUGGCAAUGUUGAGGAACGAAUUGGCUAUUCCAGUCUGGAGUUCAGGCUGGAGCAGUGAAUGACAAGCCACCCUUGUCUAGGUGGGAAUUAAAACCAAGGACCUGAAUGAAAGUACCUGGGAGGAGAGUGUGGAUAAAGUAGAAAGAUCUAAGGACCACGAACUGGGGUACUCCAGCAUUCUGAGAUGGAGAGGAGAAGGAAAAUCCAGCAAAAGAACCUGGGAAGAAGUGGCCAUUGAGUAAGAGGAAAACCAAGAGAUCGUGUGUCCAUAAAGUCAGUCGAAGAAAGUUUUUCUGAAAGGAGAAACUGAUCAGCUGGAUUGAAUACUGCUAGGAGGUGGAAUAAAAUUGUCCCACCAUUCACAACAGCGUGACCCCGGGCAAAGCAAGUACUCUCUCUGAACCGCUGUUUCCUCAUUUGCAAAGAUGAGACAGGAGAGUCGCACCUGUCUCGGGCUUGUUAAAAGGUGUGAACAUGCCUGGUACAUGAAGAUUAAAGUCGUCCCCCCAUCCAUCCAGCACUGCCCCCCUCACAGGUCAUCAGGGAGCAUCAAAGGAGCUGAGAACGAGAAAGCUCUUUGUCAACUGUACAGCACCCUGCAAAAGCCUAAACUACUCUGUAAAGUCUCAGGGUUCCUGCUGCAAGGUCCUGUCACUCCGGUCAACUUUGAUUUCAAAGUUCAUAUGAAAGGAGUCUGGAAAAUUAAAAAUAGAUCUUGUUUAACCUUUCUGAUUUCCAUUUUGUCCAUCACUUAGGUAAUGAUUACGAAAUAUAAAAUGUGUACUUGCAGAGCGUGUUUCUGCAAGUUUAGUGGGUUCUGAAAAUGACUGCUCUUCAGUCUUCCUGAGGAGAGGAGUGAAGGCCAGAGAGCCCAGAUGACCCAGAUUGCUGACGUUUGUAGUGCCAGAAAAGUUUUCCCAUCUACCUUCAGCCGUGAUGACCCAGUCGUCUUAGCACCUGCUGUGUGCUUUGUCACUAGAAGGUGAAGGCCGAGAACGCAGGGACAGUGUCAUCUUCACCGUUGUGACCUCAGGUCUUGGUCCAGUAGCACCCAGUACGUGUCAGGCACUUCUAGGCACAAAGGAAAGGUACAGGCAGCGAGCAAGACAGCUAUGGUCCUUGCUGUCACGGAGCGUAGUUUCAAGUACAAGCGAGACAAGAAAAAUAACACCUCCUGUGGUAAGUGCUAUGAGGAAACAGACCAGUGUGAGAGUGAUAAGACGGCCUUUCUGAAAAGUGAGAUUUAAGGUCAGAUCUGGAGGACAUGCAGAAGGGCUGGGAUAAGAUGAGCACUCUGUACAGAAUAGCCUGUGGGGAAACACCUGAGAAGGAAGACACCUGGGCAAAUCUGAGGAAUAAAAAGGCCAGUGUGGCUGGAGCUUAGUGAGUGAGGCAGAGAGCACUGGAGAUGUGAUGAGCAAGCUGGGCGCCACCCGCUCGGGCAGGCCGGUGAGAAGCUUGGCUUUCGUUCUGAGAGCAAUGGAAAGCCACAAGAGGCUUGAAGCAAGAGAGUGGAUCUAACGUAAAAGCUCAUCCCGCUUGCCGAGGGAUGACUGAAUGGCACCAUGCCCUGUGCAGAGCAGAGAUAGAAGGUGCUGCUUCAGCCUCCAGGAUUCAGCUCCAAAGCAAAGGAGUGCCUUUCCUCCAUAAGCUGGCUGUGCAAGAGGGUCCUUGGGUCCACACGAGAAGCAAGCUGACGUUUUUCAGUCUCUAGAUGUUUUGCUUCUCUAGCAGGUUACUGCUUUUUGAUCAGGUUUGUCAUUCUCUUCUGGCAUGUUUGAGAGCAGGAUGGGUUAAGUUUAGGAAAGAGGACAGAAGAGGAAGGCUCAGAAAAGAGCCAGAAGAAUUCAAGGAGACAAGGAGGGUGAGAAGCUCAGGUUGCGGAACUGCCAGGGCAUCUUGUCAUUAAUCAUUUUGAGAAGUAAGGAGUGCGGCAAAGACAAACCUGCAGAAAAGGGGGAAAAUGCUCAGCAUUCAAAAAAAAAGAAGCAAGCUUCGAACCUAAGACAGUGGGAGAAUGAAGGAAUCUAUGAUCGUCAGAGCUUCCCUGCACUAGAAAAAUCACGCUCCCGAUUUUCUGCUGGACACUGGUAGAGACCAAAUGCCAGACCCCACGUGAGUGUGUGAGCUGAGCUGGGUGUGACGUGCUCCACCGAGCCACAUGCCACACUCCACCAUCGCGGGGAGGUCGAUGUGGACGAUGCUAUCAGCCUUGCGCAGGUCCCUGAAGCACAAGUAAGUCACAUGAACAGGUGGCUGAGACUCCCAGGGCACCUGCUCCAUCCCCCCACACCCCACAACGAUGGCCUCAGUGGACUCUCUGUGGGCAGAAGAGUGAAGAAGGAAGACGCAGACCCAGUUAAUAGGUUGCUUUGUAAAUAUGCUGGCACCACGCAGACGUGGAAUGCCGUGCAAAACAGCUUCCCCCACUGUGCCCGAAAGGUAGAGGUGAAGGGGUUCCCCCAGAAGGCCACCUGCCUGGGCGGAGAGAAAGCCAGAGGUCCAGGAUCUACAGCAGUGCAGGGGCAGCAGCUAUCAGAUGGUCUGGGAACUUGGAAAGAACAAGAUUGGAGGCUUAAAGACAAAAAGGUCUGGGGAAGGGGUUUGUGGAUGAACUUCUCAGAAUGAGGAGAGAUGUGAGGGGGAGGUGUAGCCCGUGUCCAUACUCACCAAAGGGCUCCUACACGGGAGGCCUUUAAUAGACAAGUGGCAGGAUGCCUCUCUUGUACACGUCAUUUGUUCUCUUUCUCCAGCCACCCUCUGGCACUACCCAGGGCUUGCUCUAUUGAGCUUAUGUAUAGUGGCCAUGGCCGCAUCUGGUGCUGAUGCCGCAAGGAUGUCAUCAAAGACCUUGGGUCUUUCCACCUUUCUGCUCUGUCAUUCUUGGCAUGUUGGUUUUAGGCCUCAUGCUUAUUGCCUCAUGGUUCCAAAAAGGCCACUGCUGUUCCGGGCUUCAUCACUGCAUUAGACAGGAACAAGGGGAAAGGGCCAUAGGCAAAAGGCUCUUUCCUCAUUAGGUCUCAAGCCUUUGUCUUUUUACUAAGGAAGGGGAGAUCUCCUUAGCAGUCUUCCCCUUACAUCUCAUUUGUCAGAAUUAGGACCUGAGACCAAUUACUGGCCAAAGGGAAUGAGACUGCUAGGAUUGCUUUAUACCAAUUAAGAUUUAUCCCCUGGGGCUAUCUUCCUGAGAUCAAAGGGUAUCUGAUCCCUACUGACAAAAAUUGAGGGGGUGGGAGGUGAGGUUUGAGGCAGGGAAUGGUUGUAGGUUGGACAAUGACCAGUACCCGCCAAAGUUGCCAACAUUUAAAAUUCUGGAGAUUUCACUUAUAAAUCUAACUGGAAGAGUGGGAGGGGCAGACAACAUGACCCCACAUUGCCUCAUGGCAAAGCUGGCUGUCGUCGUCAGAUGAGUCGCGUGCUCUUGGGUUGGCCACCGUCCCCACCACCCUCUAUCACUCACCUGUCUGCUUCACCAUUUCCACUGCCUGCUUGGCUCCUGUGAACAUUUGAGUUUGUGACCCCCGACUUAGGAUGUUGUUUUAGAAAGAUCUGUUUACUUGUGUGUUUAUCCCACUGGGCUGGCACAGUGUUUUAGCAUGUAAGAUGUAAAUAAGGCCAAAAAAAAGAAGCCCUUCCUAAUAAGCCAAGCUAUCACAUUACAUGAGAGGAGUGGUAAAGGCUUUGCCAUCACAAAGACCUAAAUUACUAAAUUACUAGCUCCCGCAGUCUGACUCUCUUGUUUCUCAUCUGUAAGAUGAGGCUAAUCACAUCUGCUCCCCAGCAUCACUGAGAAGCUUAUAUGGUAUAAAGUUUAUAUGCAUAUAAAGCCCCAGGCAAAAAACAUAGAAGUUCCCUGUUCCUUCUCCAGGAAGGAGGAAUAACCAAAGUUGAAAUGAAUUUGGGAUGGAAUUCGGAAGGGAGAUUUUUAAGAGCUGAGGCUACCUCUCAUUAGAUUUGCAUGGCUAGAAGUGCUUAAUAAAUACUUUAUAAUGAUAAUAAAGAUCAUUUAGCUCAGUAGAAUGUAGUUAUACAAAUUGUAAAAAUAUAAUUAUGCCAGGUUGUCAUUAUAGAUAAUGGCCGGAAUACAGGGAUAAUGUGGGCAAACCAGAGCCCACUGUGGUGAUGGCUGCCGGCAGGCAGGCAGCUUGCAGAGAUUUUCAUGUGGGGAGUGGAAGGGGAGGGGCUGGCAUCUGGUGGGGGGAGCAA
This is a non-coding RNA of Delphinapterus leucas (beluga whale), 5336 nucleotides long. The record is from RefSeq and is a predicted model, not a curated record. Lineage: Eukaryota; Metazoa; Chordata; Mammalia; Artiodactyla; Monodontidae.